UACGUAGGGGGCGAGCGUUGUCCGGAAUGAUUGGGCGUAAAGGGCGUGUAGGCGGUUGAGUAAGUCUGGAGUGAAAGUCCUGUUUUCAAGAUGGGAAUUGCUUUGGAUACUGCUUGACUUGAGUGCAGGAGAGGUUAUCGGAAUUCCCGGUGUAGCGGUGAAAUGCGUAGAGAUCGGGAGGAACACCAGUGGCGAAGGCGGGUAACUGGACUGCAACUGACGCUGAGGCGCGAAAGUGUGGGGAGCAAACAGG
This 253-nucleotide ribosomal RNA is filed under the name uncultured bacterium. RNAcentral describes it as "partial 16S ribosomal RNA". It matches the Rfam family "Bacterial small subunit ribosomal RNA", at positions 524 to 776 of the family's 1533-position model. The record is from RNAcentral.